Molecule: ribosomal RNA, 266 nt
Filed under: uncultured bacterium
Lineage: Bacteria
Description: partial 16S ribosomal RNA
Rfam family: Bacterial small subunit ribosomal RNA
Source: RNAcentral
UGCCGGCGACCGGCGACGGGUGCGUAACGCGUAUGUAACCUACCUUUGACAGGGGGAUAACAUCGAGAAAUUGGUACUAAUACCCCAUAACAUCACCGGAGGCAUCUUCGGUGGUUGAAAACUCAGGUGGUCAGAGAUGGACAUGCGUUGUAUUAGCUAGUUGGUGAGGUAACGGCUCACCAAGGCGACGAUACAUAGGGGGACUGAGAGGUCAACCCCCCACAUUGGUACUGAGACACGGACCAAACUCCUACGGGAGGCAGCAG